GUUCAAACUGUCAGUGUUUAGAAACAAGACUAGUUUAAACAGCUUCAUCGGUUAGUGGUUCGCGUGGACCUGAGGUAUAAACUCGGAGUAAUGUAAUUAAGAAGCUUACCACUGGCUCGCUUCAGAUUUCCCAAUUGACGCUGAAAUUUUCAAACUGCUACGACGACUGGAGAGCCUGGUAUAUUCGGCCGAGCCGAAAGUCCGA
RNAcentral lists this unclassified non-coding RNA (205 nucleotides) under Bombus terrestris (buff-tailed bumblebee). RNAcentral describes it as "misc RNA ENSBTSG00005026433.1". The record is from RNAcentral. Lineage: Eukaryota; Metazoa; Arthropoda; Insecta; Hymenoptera; Apidae.